AUAUAUAUAUGGUGGCUAACUUACGAGUACAAGAAAUAAGAGAGGGAAGAUCUACGCAUAACGGACAUGAACUACUCAUAAUCAAAGGAAUGAUCCUGUACACCUACCUACGCCAGACAUAACCCCACCCUGUCCUCGAUCGGAGAAGGAACUCACGAAAGAGACAGUCACGGUUACGCACACAGUUGGCAUAUUUUAAUUAAGUUAACUUCAAGUUAUCUAGAACCAGUGUUAAACAAAAUAUCCACGUUGCCACAUAACCGCGGGCACGACUUUCCGAAAAGAUUUAACCCUGCAGGGGUGCUCCAACUAGUCCAUCACAAAUUACCACAAGCCGCAUAGAAAUCCUCAAUCACGAAGCUCGCGAUCUCGUCGGAUUCCCUAGUGGAAAACCUCAACUCUGAGAUUACCCAAAGCAUCACCGGAAUCCCGAUGCACAAGAUAUUCCGUCAAAGGUAAAACUAAUCCAGCAAGGCCACCCGACGUGUCGACGAUCCCGAUAGGAGUCGCGUACCUCGUUCUCAGGACACGAUGGAUAAGCGACGCGUACGGUGGCCUGAUAGAAAUCACCCAAGUUGCCCUGGGUUGGCCCCGCACAUUGCUCUGGGUUGGACCAACACUCAUGGGGAGCACUGGCCCGGGGGUUGAUUAAAUUUCCUCUGGUUAAUUACUCCCUAUGCAGUUUAUUAGUUAUUAGGCAAAUGUAGUACCAAAGUUGGACCCUGCCAGACCAGCUUUAAUCUAAAACGAAUUAUCAAGGGGGUCCCCAUAACAACCCCGAUCGUGUUAGGAGUGCUCAUUUAUGGAACAUAACACCGGUAGCCGAAACUAAGGGGGCAAAGGUGGAACAAAACACCAGGCUAGAAAAGGCCGAGCCUUCCACCUUUUACCAAGUAUAUAGGUGCAUUAAAUUAAAUAGCAUGUAAUAGGGUGAUAUAACAAGGAACCCAUGUUUUCACAUGGAAGCAUCUGCACCUGCAACUAGCAACGCUAACAACAAGGUUAAGCACGCAGUAACAUAGCCAAUCAGUGGUUUGCUAGGUCGAACAGGUUUAAGGUUAUCAUGGCAUUGUUGAGAGGUUGAUAUUUAACAUGUGGUUGGCAACGAGACAUAAUCGAUAGCAUCGAAAUAACUAGCAUGGCAAUGAUAGUAAUGGUAUCUGGGGAAAUGGUCAUCUUGCCUGAGAUCCCGCUUGGAAGAAGAAUGACUCCGGGAAGCAGACAAACCAACGUAGUCGAAUGGUUCCCACAUUCCGACACGCUUGCGGAACUCUAUCGAGACGGAGCAAACCAAAAACAACAUCAACACAGAUAUUCACCACACGAUGCACAACAUGAUGCAUUACCUACUAUGAUGCAUGAUCAGUUCAAUGAUGCAAGGGAUGCCAUGGCAAUUCACCUCAGACAAACACUACACAUUAAGUGAAGCUCGAUAGGCGACGGGUUGCAUAUCGACCAAACUCCACGAUUAUUUAUUUAAUUCAGUCUCUAUUAUUUAACACGCAAUAUUUAAUUGUUGUUAUCAUGGCAAGGGGUGAAGCGGUGAUCCUACAUAGCAUCCUAGUCGAUUAACACGCGGAACAUAGAGCGGAGCUACGGCACAAGAGGCAUGCAACACAAGAUUUAUAUGCCAUGAAUGCGUCAUGCAUGCAAGUUACAACAUCACGGCAAGAAGAGAAGGAAACAUGUGUCGCCACGGCGAGUGAGAGGGAACCAUGGCGGCAGGACGGAUACGAUGCCACUGCAACGUACCUAUCCCGAUACUCAACGAGAUAUCGGUGCCACGAUCUGGAAGCGUGUGCGGAAACGCUAAAUAAGAAUGGGGUGAUCCCGUAUAUCGGGUUCCCAUGUGUCGGGGCACAACAAAAGUGAGACAACAUGCAACGGGCAACAUACGGUGCAACAUACAUACAUCUCGUACAUCAUAUGCAUUCGGUACACGACACGUUCCAACGUAUACCUUUGAAGCGUGCGUACGGGCGGAUCGGUUCGUUGCGGCAAAGGAGAACAUAGGUCGGUGUGGUCGUCGUGGUCGUCGUGGUACUCGGGUCUCGUCGAUGGUAGUCGUACACUUGGCGUCGGUAGACGGGUCUUCGGCGACGGUAGUCGAACACGGUUCCGUAGAUGGUUCGGGGUCGUCGAGGACGUCGUGGGAGUAGUGGUACUCGUGAUCUUGUCGACGGGCCACAGUGGCAGGGAUGGUGCACGCGGUCUUCGGCGACGGACACCAGCAAUAGCAGCAACAACUAGCAACUAACAACAAGCUUCGGCAGGUAGGCAACCAAGCAGCAGCUAACAGCAACGGCAUCUAGCAGGUAGGCAAGCUAGCAGGAACAACAGCCAACAGCUACAGCAACUAACAAUAGCAGCAGCCGACAACAAGAGCAUUCAGCAGCGAGCAUCAGGCUUCGCAGCAGCAACAAACAGCAGCAGGCCAUCAGCAAGCAAGCUAGCAGCAUCAGCACAACAACAAGCAACAGCUACGGCGGCGGCAGCACAAGCAACAGCAACGGCGCAUCAGCUAGCAAGCAGCAAGAGCAACAACAAACGCAACGGCAACAAGCAUGCAUGCAGCGUCACCAGCCUGGCAGUCAACAACUUCGGCAAAAGCAGCAGGGCAGCAAGAGCAUGCACGGCAACAGCAGCAACAAAUCGGGCAGGGGAAACGGCCGGCCAUGGCGGCUGCAGAGACCGGCGGCGAGAGGCGCAGGCACGGGGAGGCGAGCACGCCGCUGCUGAGGCCGGCCGACGGACGCGGGGAACGGCGUGCCGAGGCGGAGCAGGUGACGCAGCGAGACGGCACAACGACGACGGGAGGCGCGGCCGGGCCGAGGGCGGCACGCGGCGGCUGAGAGCACGGCGGCGGGGCUGCCGGAGGGCGCAGGCGGCGGCCACGGCGGGGGCCGGCGAGGUCUCGGGCAAGGCAGGGGCUGCUCGUGCGAAGGCAGGAGGAAGGGGCGACGGCCAUGGUGCGCGGGGCGAGGUCCGAGGCCAUGGAGACGAUGUAGAGGGGCGAGGCGGCCAGCGGCGGCGUCCAAGAGGAGCGAGGCGGCCGGCGACGCUGGCAGGAAGAUGGGAAUCGGGAGGGAGAGAGGGGAUCGCACAGGACGAGACGGGAGGCGAGGGGAACGGCUGGACGAGGGGAGAAGACGCCGGGGAAGCGUCGCUAGGUCAGGGGGAGCUGCUGGGCCUGGGCCGGCUGGCUUGGGCAGGCUCCCUCUUUCCUAUUUGGUUUUUUUUUCGGUUUCUUCCUUUUUUUUAAAGAAAAACAGAAACUCACAAAGAAAAGGUUUUAACAGAAAAAUUAAAAUAAAUAAAAUACCUUUUAAACUACUUUAAAACAUACCCCACUAUAAGAGAUAGUUUUGGGCUUUUUUUUAAAAGAAAUAAAAGUGAAACCUUUUUCUUAAGAAUUAAAAUUUAAAUAAAACCCUUUCACAAAAGAAUAAAAUUUAAACCCCUUUUGACAAGAGAAUAAAAUAAAACCUCUUUUAUUUAAAGAGUAAACUAAAAGCUCUUAAAAGAAGAAAAGGAAAUGAGACUGUUUGAAAUAAAACAAAAGGAGAAACAAAAGAAAAACCCAAGGUUGCCCCCACAUUUAAUAAAAGGAGUUUUAUUAAAAGGAAGACGAACCUUUUUUAAAUUGGGGUUAAAACGAAGACUUAGCAAAACCACAAAAACAAAUUAGGAGGGGAGAGAGGGGGGACUACUAUCGCUCUACGACUCGGUGAUCACUCGAAGCACAACACUCCAAACACCACACGCGACAGACGAUGCAAGAUGCCAUGCAUGAUGCGAUGAUGCAACUACAUGAUGAUGCAACAAGUAAAAAUACCCACACGACGGAAACGUAAAGGACAAGGGGAAUCUUCUGGGGCGUCGGUCUCGGGCUGUCACAACUCUCCUACACUACAAGAGGAUCUCGCCCCGAGAUCCAAGAAUGAAAGGGGGGAGAGGAAGAGAAAGAACAAGAGGUAAAAAUUUAGUCGCUUCUUUGACAAACGAGUGAAACCAACGAUCCUUGAAGGUUGCAAAGAGAUGAGGAAUGAUAUGGGAAAGAAGCAAGAAUUCACGGAAAAUUUCGGCAGCACUUCGGUAGGAAAAUGGGACAAAAAAUUCGAUAAGAAGAGAGAAAUAGACAAUAUUCACAACCAACAACUAGAUAGAACAGGGGAACACCAUGAACUUGAUAGAACAACAUAAUAGACCCAAAAGAGCAACAUCACAAGGCCUCCGGAACAAGAGAAUAGGAACUAGCUCAAGCGGAAGAAGAGAAUGAAGAAAAAGAAUGACAACUAUCAUCACAAUAGAAUUUAAGAGCCUCCGGACAAAGAAUUGACAGAGUAGUUGGAAAACCAACAACGAAAAGAACAAGAUAGUAGUGGGCUUAUGAAAAUCAUCUCAACAAAUAUGAGGCGACAAACAACCACUAAAAGAAACAAGGAUAGAUUGGGAGCAACAAGAUAUGAACAAUCUUACACCAAGAGGAUGCAUUGAGAACUUAGAUUAAAGAAAAGCACCAUGAUAGCACAAUCCAUAGAAAAAGCUUUAGGUGAAAUCCAAACCAAGAUAGCUCAAUGAAGAAACCAUGAGUUAAGAAUAAUCUCAUGAUCAAAGGAUUGGUGGAUUUAAUUAUCUCAUUCUAGAAAGGAAAUCUCUUCGAGGCUCCUACACUAACAAGAAUGCUAUAAUACCACCUCAAAGGAUAAAGGAAGAACAAUUACACAUAGAAAUGCAAGAGAAAGGAUACUUGAGGUUCUCCAACAAGAAUCUUGAAGAAUACUUGAGAAUGAAUUGAAACCUUGAUGAACCACCAAGAAGUACCUCCGUAUACGAAUGAAUGAUGCAAAGAUAUCAAGGUAGAAAGAAUAAGAUUAUGAGCUUGCCAAGAUUUAGAUGAAGCCUCACAAAGAGAUACUUAAUAGAACUUGGAACUCUGGAAAAAGAAUUCAGAUUACUAUGAACAAGAAUAAGAAUUAUGUUAUGCUAAUCCUUCACCAAGUUUAAUUGAUGACAAGCAACGGAUUUAGCAUACAACUUAUUCCUCUUGAAAGAAACUUGAAGAGACAGAGAGAUAAGCACCACUUGAGGCAAAAAUUGACGGAAAGCACCGGUAAGAAUCCACAAUUGAAUGGGAAAACCAAGAAUUAAUGGAGAUACAUGAGAACGAACAGAUCAUGAGUCACCUGAGAGAAAACUAGAACAAGGCACCAGAAUAACCAAGAGACGAACGAAGAGACAACAAUGGAGAAGAAUUGAGGAUGAACGCUGAAAGCUGAGAACGAAUAAUCUUGUGAAAUGAUGGCCUUCGGAGGAUCGAGAAUGACAACAACUCAGAGAAGCACCGGAUAGCAAGAACGGGAUACUCAUGAUUGGAACAAUUAAGAUGAUGGCACCAAGCUGAAAUGAUUAAUCUCCAAGAGAAUGAACCAAGAUUGAGAGAAACACGGAGAAAAUGACGAGAAGAACCUCACCAAGAAUACUGAGACACUCCGGAAUAAGGAAGAAUGAAAGGUUGAGCCAAAUAUGAGAAAUAAUUCAAAUGGAUCUUGGAGAAUGGCUAUGACUGAUGAAAUCCAUACUUACGUCAAAGCUGAAAAGAAUUAAUGAUCUCCGGGAAAAGAUUAAAAGAGCUAGGAAAGAUCCUGGGAAGGAACCUGUGGGUUAUGGGCCCACUCAAAGAAAUCACCGUUGAAAAGAUUGCUAUAAUGGGAGAUAUUGCACCGGUACAAGAAAACUAGAUGAGGUUGAGAACCUCGAAAUAAUUAAAGAAUUGAAAACAAGAAACUCUGAGAUAUCUUCAACACUCCAGAUAGGAUAGAUAGAAAAGAAAACAAGAUAGGCUGACAAGAAACUCCAACAUAGGAAGAAUUACAAGGAUGAAUAGGAUAUGAUGAACACAGACAACUGAAUUAAAUUCACCGGAAAGAUGACAAGAAUGAAUAAAGAGGAACAUGAAUCUCCUGAGAAUCUUCACAAUGAACCACCGGUUACGAAAGGAAGAAAAGAUAGCGGAAGCAUCACUGAAAUGAAAUGCAGUUGGAUGAAAUCCAAUCACUGAAGAAAAAGGGCGGGAGGGCGGGGAAAAACAAAGACAACAUGGGACAGAUGAGAAGAACUCCGGAAAGAAUUGAGAGAAUGAUCUGCAAAAAUUAGAGAGGAUUGAAUCCACUUGGAGAGAAACACAUCGGUUGAAAAAGAAUUGAUAUGGCGACUCCGGUUGACAAAAUUGAUAAGACAACUGAUUGAGCAAAAGAAUUUGCAUUCUCACAUGAAAAUAUGAGAACACCUCUUAGAAAGGAUCUGAAAUCACCACUUGACAUCGAAGCAACUUGAAUUACCAUAUUAAAACAAAACAAAGGGUGAGGCUUAUGAAACAAGCCAGAACAAACUCAUGAGAAAGAUUUCGUGCGAUAUUUUCGUGAACAGGAAUCCACUAGAUGUCGAACCCCAACCUAACAUCAUGUAUUUGUUGGAAGAUUGUCCUAUAAGCAACUACUUGAAUUCUCACCUAUGAAUUCCCGAAAUAUCUGGUCAUGCAAUCUGGUACACGGAUACAAGGAGUAAUGUCACACAACUCCUAUACUAACCCGUCACCUGUAUCACAUCCGUCAACACACAACCAGAAUCUCGGACCUUCAUCUACAACAGACCCACGUGAUCACAACGAUACAAAGUAUGGUAGUACUCCCGAACAAUCUGCACCAGUACUGGGGACAUCGGGGUUAUCUCGCCACUACUAGUAUUGAAGCAAUUACGAACAUCCUUCGUACUGAGAUAUUAAGAAACCAGAAUGAUAACGAUGUGCUCGAGAAUCCCCUGGAGCUCAACUCCCCUAAGACUUAGAGCAGAUAGGAGGCACCAAGACAGAAUUCCGUCACAUCGGCAUCAUAUAGAUUCCAAAAAUAUCCGUGUGAUCCUAAAAAAAAUUUGAGUGAGAAGAGGAGUAGAAUAAAUUAUUACGUCAAGAUUCCUCACCAGAGCAUAGAAGAGGAGAAAAAAGAAUCCUACUCUCCGAUAUAUAACUAGACUCAAAGCAGUUUUUCACUAGACUCGACUCGGCCAAGUUCGAUCAAUCAAGGGGGCUCCUAGGUCGGUACUGCUCUGAUACCAACUUUUCACGCCCAAGAUGCGACCCUAUCCUCAAUUUGGCACGAGGGCCUCGUCAGGGAUAGAAUCGCAUCUCGUAGUGUCGCAAGAAUGGAUAUCGUUACAAGUACAUGUACUGAAAAGAAGAGAUAUAUAUAGAGUUGGCUUACACUCGCCACAAGCUACAUCAGAGUCACAUCAAUACAUUACAUAUUCAUCAAGAGUAAGAGCAGGGUCCGACUACGGACGAAAACAAACGACAAAAGAAGAACGACGUCCAUCCUUGCUAUCCCAGGCUGCCGGCCUGGAACCCAUCCUAGAUCGAUGAAGAAGAAGAAGAAUAAGAAGCAACUCCAAAUGAACAAUCAACGCGCUCGCGUCAAGUAACCUUUACCUGUACCUGCAACUGGUGUUGUAGUAAUCUGUGAGCCACAGGGGACUCAACAAUCUCAUUUCCAAACGUAUCAAGACUAGCAAAGCUUAAUGGGUGAGGUAUGGUUAAGUGGUGAGGUUGCAGGAGCGGCUAAGCAUAUAUAUAUGAUGGCUAACUUACGAGUACAAGAAAUAAGAGAGGGAAGAUCUACGCAUAACGGACAUGAACUACUCAUGAUCAAAGGAAUGAUCCUGAACACCUACCUACGCCAGACAUAACCCCACCCUGUCCUCGAUCGGAGAAGGAACUCACGAAAGAGACAGUCACGGUUACGCACACAGUUGGCAUAUUUUAAUUAAGUUAACUUCAAGUUAUCUAGAACCAGU
RNAcentral lists this long non-coding RNA (7848 nucleotides) under Hordeum vulgare. RNAcentral describes it as "long non-coding RNA (HVUL_LNC007812)". The record is from RNAcentral. Lineage: Eukaryota; Viridiplantae; Streptophyta; Magnoliopsida; Poales; Poaceae.